This 1449-nucleotide ribosomal RNA is filed under the name Klebsiella pneumoniae. RNAcentral's name for it is "16S ribosomal RNA". It matches the Rfam family "Bacterial small subunit ribosomal RNA". Lineage: Bacteria; Pseudomonadati; Pseudomonadota; Gammaproteobacteria; Enterobacterales; Enterobacteriaceae. The record is from RNAcentral.
AGAGUUUGAUCAUGGCUCAGAUUGAACGCUGGCGGCAGGCCUAACACAUGCAAGUCGAGCGGUAGCACAGAGAGCUUGCUCUCGGGUGACGAGCGGCGGACGGGUGAGUAAUGUCUGGGAAACUGCCUGAUGGAGGGGGAUAACUACUGGAAACGGUAGCUAAUACCGCAUAACGUCGCAAGACCAAAGUGGGGGACCUUCGGGCCUCAUGCCAUCAGAUGUGCCCAGAUGGGAUUAGCUAGUAGGUGGGGUAACGGCUCACCUAGGCGACGAUCCCUAGCUGGUCUGAGAGGAUGACCAGCCACACUGGAACUGAGACACGGUCCAGACUCCUACGGGAGGCAGCAGUGGGGAAUAUUGCACAAUGGGCGCAAGCCUGAUGCAGCCAUGCCGCGUGUGUGAAGAAGGCCUUCGGGUUGUAAAGCACUUUCAGCGGGGAGGAAGGCGAUAAGGUUAAUAACCUUGUCGAUUGACGUUACCCGCAGAAGAAGCACCGGCUAACUCCGUGCCAGCAGCCGCGGUAAUACGGAGGGUGCAAGCGUUAAUCGGAAUUACUGGGCGUAAAGCGCACGCAGGCGGUCUGUCAAGUCGGAUGUGAAAUCCCCGGGCUCAACCUGGGAACUGCAUUCGAAACUGGCAGGCUAGAGUCUUGUAGAGGGGGGUAGAAUUCCAGGUGUAGCGGUGAAAUGCGUAGAGAUCUGGAGGAAUACCGGUGGCGAAGGCGGCCCCCUGGACAAAGACUGACGCUCAGGUGCGAAAGCGUGGGGAGCAAACAGGAUUAGAUACCCUGGUAGUCCACGCCGUAAACGAUGUCGAUUUGGAGGUUGUGCCCUUGAGGCGUGGCUUCCGGAGCUAACGCGUUAAAUCGACCGCCUGGGGAGUACGGCCGCAAGGUUAAAACUCAAAUGAAUUGACGGGGGCCCGCACAAGCGGUGGAGCAUGUGGUUUAAUUCGAUGCAACGCGAAGAACCUUACCUGGUCUUGACAUCCACAGAACUUNNNNNNNNNNNNNNNNNNNNNNNNNNNNNNNNNNNNNNNNNNNNNNNNNNGGCCGGGAACUCAAAGGAGACUGCCAGUGAUAAACUGGAGGAAGGUGGGGAUGACGUCAAGUCAUCAUGGCCCUUACGACCAGGGCUACACACGUGCUACAAUGGCAUAUACAAAGAGAAGCGACCUCGCGAGAGCAAGCGGACCUCAUAAAGUAUGUCGUAGUCCGGAUUGGAGUCUGCAACUCGACUCCAUGAAGUCGGAAUCGCUAGUAAUCGUAGAUCAGAAUGCUACGGUGAAUACGUUCCCGGGCCUUGUACACACCGCCCGUCACACCAUGGGAGUGGGUUGCAAAAGAAGUAGGUAGCUUAACCUUCGGGAGGGCGCUUACCACUUUGUGAUUCAUGACUGGGGUGAAGUCGUAACAAGGUAACCGUAGGGGAACCUGCGGUUGGAUCACCU